This 646-nucleotide ribosomal RNA is filed under the name uncultured bacterium. RNAcentral's name for it is "bacterial SSU rRNA". It matches the Rfam family "Bacterial small subunit ribosomal RNA", at positions 8 to 649 of the family's 1533-position model. The record is from RNAcentral.
AGAGUUUGAUCAUGGCUCAGAUUGAACGCUGGCGGCAGGCCUAACACAUGCAAGUCGAGCGGUAGAGAGGUGCUUGCACCUCUUGAGAGCGGCGGACGGGUGAGUAAAGCCUAGGAAUCUGCCUGGUAGUGGGGGAUAACGCUCGGAAACGGACGCUAAUACCGCAUACGUCCUACGGGAGAAAGCAGGGGACCUUCGGGCCUUGCGCUAUCAGAUGAGCCUAGGUCGGAUUAGCUAGUUGGUGAGGUAAUGGCUCACCAAGGCGACGAUCCGUAACUGGUCUGAGAGGAUGAUCAGUCACACUGGAACUGAGACACGGUCCAGACUCCUACGGGAGGCAGCAGUGGGGAAUAUUGGACAAUGGGCGAAAGCCUGAUCCAGCCAUGCCGCGUGUGUGAAGAAGGUCUUCGGAUUGUAAAGCACUUUAAGUUGGGAGGAAGGGCAUUAACCUAAUACGUUAGUGUUUUGACGUUACCGACAGAAUAAGCACCGGCUAACUCUGUGCCAGCAGCCGCGGUAAUACAGAGGGUGCAAGCGUUAAUCGGAAUUACUGGGCGUAAAGCGCGCGUAGGUGGUUCGUUAAGUUGGAUGUGAAAUCCCCGGGCUCAACCUGGGGACUGCAUUCAAAACUGUCGAGCUAGAGUAU